Unclassified non-coding RNA from Panthera pardus (leopard), 241 nucleotides. Its record names the gene 7SK. It matches the Rfam family "7SK RNA". Rfam says of the family: 7SK was discovered as an abundant small nuclear RNA in the mid-70s but a possible function has only recently been suggested. Two independent studies have found that 7SK RNA binds the CDK9/cyclin T complex (known as elongation factor P-TEFb). Lineage: Eukaryota; Metazoa; Chordata; Mammalia; Carnivora; Felidae. The record is from Ensembl.
AGAUGUGAGGGCGAUCUGGCUGUGACAUCUGUCACCCCAUUGGUCGCCAGGGUUGAUCUGGCUGAUCUGGCUGGCUAGGUGGGUAUCCCCUUUCUCCCUCACUACUCCACACGUGUCCCUCCCAAAGCUGCAUGCUCCGUUGAAGAGGACAAACAAACCAAAGACAAUAAAGUUACUUACCACAUCCUUCAACUCACAUGAUUACCAUUUUGUCACCAUUGCUGUUGUAAUGGUGAGGACA